RNAcentral lists this small nuclear RNA (23 nucleotides) under Arabidopsis thaliana (thale cress). Its description in RNAcentral is "snRNA_12584". The record is from RNAcentral. Lineage: Eukaryota; Viridiplantae; Streptophyta; Magnoliopsida; Brassicales; Brassicaceae.
GUAAUAUUGUAUUUAUUUGACAU